GAGGGUGUAGCUCAGUGGUAGAGUAUGUGCUUAGCAUGCACAAGGCCCUGGGUUCCAUCCCCAGCACUGCCA
Molecule: transfer RNA, 72 nt
Filed under: Marmota marmota marmota (Alpine marmot)
Lineage: Eukaryota; Metazoa; Chordata; Mammalia; Rodentia; Sciuridae
Also listed under: 1 other name
Rfam family: tRNA
About the family: Transfer RNA (tRNA) molecules are approximately 80 nucleotides in length. Their secondary structure includes four short double-helical elements and three loops (D, anti-codon, and T loops).
Source: Rfam by way of RNAcentral